CACGAGGUUAGCCGGUGCUUAUUCUUUGGGUACCGUCAUCCCAACCAGGUAUUAGCCGGCUGGAUUUCUUUCCCAACAAAAGGGCUUUACAACCCGAAGGCCUUCUUCACCCACGCGGUAUGGCUGGAUCAGGCUUGCGCCCAUUGUCCAAUAUUCCCCACUGCUGCCUCCCGUAGGAGUCUGGACCGUGUCUCAGUUCCAGUGUGGCUGAUCAUCCUCUCAGACCAGCUACGGAUCGUCGCCUUGGUGGGCCUUUACCCCGCCAACUAGCUAAUCCGACAUCGGCUCAUUCAAUCGCGCAAGGUCCGAAGAUCCCCUGCUUUCACCCGUAGGUCGUAUGCGGUAUUAGCGUAAGUUUCCCUACGUUAUCCCCCACGAAAAAGUAGAUUCCGAUGUAUUCCUCACCCGUCCGCCACUCGCCACCCAUAAGAGCAAGCUCUUACUGUGCUGCCGUUCGACUUGCAUGUGUUAGGCCUACCGCCAGCGUUCACUGUGAGCCAGGAUCAAACUCU
Molecule: ribosomal RNA, 512 nt
Filed under: uncultured Stenotrophomonas sp.
Lineage: Bacteria; Pseudomonadati; Pseudomonadota; Gammaproteobacteria; Lysobacterales; Lysobacteraceae
Description: partial 16S ribosomal RNA
Source: RNAcentral